GACGAACGCUGGCGGCGUGCUUAACACAUGCAAGUCGAACGAAGAGCGAUGGAAGCUUGCUUCUAUCACUCUUAGUGGCGAACGGGUGAGUAACGCGUAAUCAACCUGCCCUUCAGAGGGGGACAACAGUUGGAAACGACUGCUAAUACCGCAUACGAUCUAACCUCGGCAUCGAGGAUAGAUGAAAGGUGGCCUCUACAUGUAAGCUAUCACUGAAGGAGGGGAUUGCGUCUGAUUAGCUAGUUGGAGGGGUAACGGCCCACCAAGGCGAUGAUCAGUAGCCGGUCUGAGAGGAUGAACGGCAACAUUGGGACUGAGACACGGCCCAGACUCCUACGGGAGGCAGCAGUGGGGAAUCUUCCGCAAUGGACGAAAGUCUGACGGAGCAACGCCGCGUGAGUGAUGACGGCCUUCGGGUUGUAAAGCUCUGUUAAUCGGGACGAAAGGUCUUCUUGCGAAUAGUGAGAAGGAUUGACGGUACCGGAAUAGAAAGCCACGGCUAACUACGUG
Molecule: ribosomal RNA, 510 nt
Filed under: uncultured bacterium
Lineage: Bacteria
Description: partial 16S ribosomal RNA
Rfam family: Bacterial small subunit ribosomal RNA
Source: RNAcentral